GCAAACUUGGUCAUUUAGAGGAAGUAAAAGUCGUAACAAGGUUUCCGUAGGUGAGUAAUAGUCGCAUAUCACUUUGGCUCAAAAUUUGAAUAAUGUACUGACUUAUUUUAGGUGAACCUGCGGAAGGAUCAUUACCGAGUGUGGCCCCAUUUUUAAAACAAAUAGGGGUACCUCCCGUCCUUUGCAGGGCCCUUUGGGGCUUUUUGAACUUUGCUUCGGCGGGUUUACCCCCGCCGGAACACCCUCAAGAAAAUCUUUUUUAAAAAAAACUGUUGUCUGAGCAUUUACGAAAUAAAAACAAAACUUUCAACAACGGAUCUCUUGGUUCUGGCAUCGAUGAAGAACGCAGC
This 350-nucleotide unclassified non-coding RNA is filed under the name uncultured fungus. RNAcentral describes it as "partial contains small subunit ribosomal RNA, internal transcribed spacer 1, and 5.8S ribosomal RNA". The stretch from base 1 to 134 matches the Rfam family "Eukaryotic small subunit ribosomal RNA", at positions 1759 to 1831 of the family's 1831-position model. Lineage: Eukaryota; Fungi. The record is from RNAcentral.